UACGUAGGGGGCAAGCGUUGUCCGGAUUUAUUGGGCGUAAAGAGCUCGUAGGCGGCUCGGUAAGUCGGAUGUGAAACCUCCAGGCUCAACCUGGAGUCGCCAUCCGAUACUGCUGUGGCUUGAGUCCGGUAGGGGAGCAUGGAAUUCCUGGUGUAGCGGUGAAAUGCGCAGAUAUCAGGAGGAACACCAGUGGCGAAGGCGGUGCUCUGGGCCGGUACUGACGCUGAGGAGCGAAAGCGUGGGGAGCAAACAGG
Molecule: ribosomal RNA, 254 nt
Filed under: uncultured bacterium
Lineage: Bacteria
Description: partial 16S ribosomal RNA
Rfam family: Bacterial small subunit ribosomal RNA
Source: RNAcentral